GUCUUCAUAAAAUAUUUAGAAAAUCAAAGAUAUCCCUUAUAUUAAAUUUUAAAAAUCCAUGUGGGCCAUAGAGUUUGCCUUUACAAGCCUUGCAAAGUGUGAAAGAUGGCUCAUCCUAUAUGGCAUUCAAUUUGGUUUUGAAAGGGGUUUGCAAGACGGAUGUGGAUGCUCUUACAUCCUUAUUGCAAAUGAACUUGCAAACCUCUGUGAACAUGACAUGGCAAAUCCAACUCAGCAAGUUCCUGCAAAUAUAGAACGACUUUCAAAUGCAAAAAUGGGUCCCUCCACUCAUCAACUUGCUACUUGCUAUAUAUAAUUAUAUUACAAUGCUUUUCAAUUAUUUAAUUAAAUCACUUGUUUAAUUGAUUAAAGUACCAUCGUGAUUUUUAUUUACUAAUUUACUAGUUAAUAUAUUAGACAUCUUUAAAACAUUAUUUCGUUUCGUAAUUACUUAAGUAAUUGAUCGAUUAAAAUACUAUUAUUAGAUUAUCUAUUUCAUAAUUAUUUUAUUAACUAGAUAAAAGAUUUAAAUUUAAUAGGAUGAUUGGUUACCAUAUUAUACUAUAAUUCUAUAAUUUAUCUAUUUAUUUGUAUUUUAAAAAUUAAAAAUAUUAAAACUAAUUUCUAUAUUAUAAUCUACAAACAAAUAAAAGACAAUAAACAAGAUAUACUUUGACGUAUUUUAUAUCGUCUAAAGCUAUUUAAAUUUAUGAUUGGGUAAACUAUUUAAAUAUUUAAUAAUUAAGUUUAUGUUUAAUUAAUUCACUAAUCAAAACUAAGAAGUUUUGUGUAUAGGGUACCUAUGUUUAUAUACUCUUAAGGGUAUUGUUAGGCGUGUCAAACCCAACAAAUAAAGGGGUACGAUAUACUCCAAAAGAAUCCCACUAUAUUGCACUAAAAGGUAGUACAAGGCAAGCAGGGUCGAUCCACAGAAACACGGGAUAAUUAGUCUAUAUCUCUUUGCACAAGGUACUAUGGUCACCAACAGUAAAAAAGGGGGGGGGGUUAGAGUGCAAUGACUAAACAAACAAAUUAAAAACACACGCAAUCAGCUAAAUGAGUGAAUUAGAUUCAGAUUUUGUAAGAACUCCAACUUCAUGUAUGACAACUUAGCAAUGUGACUCAAAGAUGACACAAUAUUCGUUCAAUUCUAUCUAAGUUGGUACUAGAAAGUGCUAAUAAGCUCUAACACUUCCCAUUCACCACAUUAAUUAACCAAAACAAGCUCUUUGAUUAACCCAAACCUUAUUAACCUAAUCUAAACAAGCUCUUAGAAUUAGAUUAUAAGAUUGCAUGAAGCUUUAUGUGAAUGUUCCCAACAACACCCAAUACUCCUCAUAAGCUCGGGAGUGUAAAAGUGUAUGAAUAAGAUUUACACUAAAUUCAUUCAAUAGAGAUCAAUUUAAUGCUUAUUACUUGUUCAAUUUCACAAAACAAAUACGGAUUUUGUAAAAGAGAUAACUUGAAUGACCUAACCCUAAUUCAAAUGGCCAAUAAGAAUCACAAUUAGAAUCAAACAUUCGAUUGAAGCAAAAUCAAAUUCAUUAGAUAGGAAUUAAGAACAAACAUCAUGUCAUAUGAUUGAAGUCAUUACCAAGAAGUCAAAACAUGAAAUUGGAGAAACUAGGGUUCUAGCCACAUAUGGCUAGAACAAGAUCACAAGAAUAAACGAUGGAAAUAAUGUGCAAUUACAACUUACAAAUAAGAGAAAUAAUGUUUCCAAAUGAUAAAUGAUCAAAUCCUUGCAAAAACCUUCGAAAUCCCCUCUCAAAAUGUGCUCUGAUAUGUUGUGUGUGUGUAAAAAUGACCCUUAACCCGUAAUAUGAAAGAUAGGAAAAACUGCCAAAAGUUGGUUUCUGGGUCGAACACGGCCCGUGUUGGACAUAGAGUAAAUUUGACACGGCCCGUGUUCAGCAUGGUCAACAGCUCACAUUUUGGUCAAUACAGCCCGUGUUGGACAUAGAGUAAAUCUGACACGGCCCGUGUUCCCCUCUGACUCUGAAUCCAAACUUGAUUUUUCCAACUUUUUCACUCUUCGCCCGAUCAUCCCGAAAUCUUCACCAAUGCUUCCCGACACUUCCUAAAGCGUGCUCCAACCUCCGAUUUACCUGAAAAAGACAUGUAAAUGUGCAAAUAAGAUUGUUCUAGAGACUAACAUGAAAUAUGAUGAAAUGCAAGACAAAUGAAGGACAAUUAUGCUAAAUAAAUGCAUGAAAUCGGACUAAAAGGUGUGCAAAAAGAUGCACAAAUUGCACCUAACAGGUAUAUUCACUUUUCCAAUAUAUAUAUAUAUAUAUAUAUAUUGGUUUUUGAAGUAAAAAAUAAUAAAUAAUAAAAAAAGCCAUAUAUUUAACAGAGUACUAAUUUUUUUUAUAAGAUGAAUUUACCAAAUAAAAAUAAAAUAACUAACGUAACAAAAGUUCCAAUAGAAAAAUAUUAUAUUUACAUAAAAAUAUCACUCGUAUUCUUUUUUUGUAUAUAUAAUUUUAAUAUGAUCUUUUUUAUAUUUAAUUGGACAGUAUAUAUACAAUAUUUCUCGUGUGAUCAAGCUUUAAUUGGUUUGCUUUUCAAUUUAACAUCAAAAUAGUCUUCAUAAAAUAUUUAGAAAAUCAAAGAUAUCCCUUAUAUUAAAUUUUAAAAAUCCAUGUGGGCCAUAGAGUUUGCCUUUACAAGCCUUGCAAAGUGUGAAAGAUGGCUCAUCCUAUAUGGCAUUCAAUUUGGUUUUGAAAGGGGUUUGCAAGACAGAUGUGGAUGCUCUUACAUCCUUAUUGCAAAUGAACUUGCAAACCUCUGUGAACAUGACAUGGCAAAUCCAACUCAGCAAGUUCCUGCAAAUAUAGAACGACUUUCAAAUGCAAAAAUGGGUCCCUCCACUCAUCAACUUGCUACUUGCUAUAUAUAAUUAUAUUACAAUGCUUUUCAAUUAUUUAAUUAAAUCACUUGUUUAAUUGAUUAAAGUACCAUCGUGAUUUUUAUUUACUAAUUUACUAGUUAAUAUAUUAGACAUCUUUAAAACAUUAUUUCGUUUCGUAAUUACUUAAGUAAUUGAUCGAUUAAAAUACUAUUAUUAGAUUAUCUAUUUCAUAAUUAUUUUAUUAACUAGAUAAAAGAUUUAAAUUUAAUAGGAUGAUUGGUUACCAUAUUAUACUAUAAUUCUAUAAUUUAUCUAUUUAUUUGUAUUUUAAAAAUUAAAAAUAUUAAAACUAAUUUCUAUAUUAUAAUCUACAAACAAAUAAAAGACAAUAAACAAGAUAUACUUUGACGUAUUUUAUAUCGUCUAAAGGUAUUUAAAUUUAUGAUUGGGUAAACUAUUUAAAUAUUUAAUAAUUAAGUUUAUGUUUAAUUAAUUCACUAAUCAAAACUAAGAAGUUUUGUGUAUAGGGUACCUAUGUUUAUAUACUCUUAAGGGUAUUGUUAGGCGUGUCAAACCCAACAAAUAAAGGGGUACGAUAUACUCCAAAAUAAUCCCACUAUAUUGCACUAAAAGGUAGUACAAGGCAAGCAGGGUCGAUCCACAGAGACACGGG
RNAcentral lists this long non-coding RNA (3527 nucleotides) under Lactuca sativa (garden lettuce). RNAcentral's name for it is "long non-coding RNA (LSAT_LNC006443)". Lineage: Eukaryota; Viridiplantae; Streptophyta; Magnoliopsida; Asterales; Asteraceae. The record is from RNAcentral.